GGCGGCUGUGAGCAGCGCUCUGGGCGCGCUGGGCGGAGAGCCGAGCGGGGGCCGGCGGAGGGCGGACAGGGCGGGCGCGUGCAGCUCAGGUCGGGCGCCCAAGACGAGGGGCCUCUGGCAGGCACCUGAGGUAACCAGGCUUUGAUGCACCCUCAGGAAGUCUGUGCACUCGAGGAGGCCACCCCCCGCCGGCUGCUGCUCACAUGGUUUCUGGGCCCCUGGCACUCCGGUCCGCAUGUAGCCUUGGCUAAUUUCAAACUCCGUAUGUAGCAAAGGAUGACCUUGAACUCCUGAUCUUCGUGCCCUCACACCUCCAAGAGAUAGAAUUACAGAUGUGGGCAACCAAGCCCGGCUUUGUAUACCUGAAUUGGUCGGGCGUGAUCCGUCUCGGUUGGGUUCGGGCGCCCUCUGCUGCCUAUUGUGACGCGGGCCACCAAGUUACCCAGGCGGUGGAGGUCGGGGCGGAGCUCUGGAGCCAUGACUGAGCCGCAGGAGCAGCUGCUGCAGCUGCAGAAGGACAACCGAGAUGGCCGCCUGCGGAAGCAGGAGCUAGAAGAGCUGGUGCGUGGGCUGGAAGCCGAGAGCGAGAGCCUCACCGGGCGCCUGGAGGAGCUGCGGGAGCGCGAGCGCAGCCUGCAGCGGAGACGAAGUCAAGCAUCACGAGCCAUUCGAGGCGAGGCAUGUGAGGCGGCACGGGAGCGUGCGGAGCGGGCUCGU
RNAcentral lists this long non-coding RNA (717 nucleotides) under Mus musculus (house mouse). RNAcentral's name for it is "predicted gene, 49573". The record is from RNAcentral. Lineage: Eukaryota; Metazoa; Chordata; Mammalia; Rodentia; Muridae.